GACGAACGCUGGCGGCGUGCCUAAUACAUGCAAGUAGAACGCUGAAGGAGGAGCUUGCUUCUCUGGAUGAGUUGCGAACGGGUGAGUAACGCGUAGGUAACCUGCCUGGUAGCGGGGGAUAACUAUUGGAAACGAUAGCUAAUACCGCAUAAUAGCAGUUAUUGCAUGAUAACUGUUUGAAAGGUGCAAUUGCACCACUACCAGAUGGACCUGCGUUGUAUUAGCUAGUUGGUGGGGUAACGGCCUACCAAGGCGACGAUGCAUAGCCGACCUGAGAGGGUGAUCGGCCACACUGGGACUGAGACACGGCCCAGACUCCUACGGGAGGCAGCAGUAGGGAAUCUUCCGCAAUGGGCGAAAGCCUGACGGAGCAACGCCGCGUGAGUGAAGAAGGAUUUCGGUUCGUAAAGCUCUGUUGUUAGGGAAGAAUGAUUGUGUAGUAACUAUACACAGUAGAGACGGUACCUAACCAGAAAGCCACGGCUAACUACGUGCCAGCAGCCGCGGUAAUACGUAGGUGGCAAGCGUUGUCCGGAAUUAUUGGGCGUAAAGCGCGCGCAGGUGGUUUAAUAAGUCUGAUGUGAAAGCCCACGGCUCAACCGUGGAGGGUCAUUGGAAACUGUUAAACUUGAGUGCAGGAGAGAAAAGUGGAAUUCCUAGUGUAGCGGUGAAAUGCGUAGAGAUUAGGAGGAACACCAGUGGCGAAGGCGGCUUUUUGGCCUGUAACUGACACUGAGGCGCGAAAGCGUGGGGAGCAAACAGG
Molecule: ribosomal RNA, 763 nt
Filed under: uncultured bacterium
Lineage: Bacteria
Description: bacterial SSU rRNA
Rfam family: Bacterial small subunit ribosomal RNA
Source: RNAcentral